GGUUAGGUUAGGUUAGGUUUGGUUAGGUUAGGUUACGUUAGGUUGAGAGAGAGAGAGAGAGAGAGAGAGAGAGAGAGAGAGAGAGAGAGAGAGAGAGAGAGAGAGAGAGAGAGAGAGAGAGAGAGAGAGAGAGAGAGAGAGAGAGAGAGAGAGAGA
Scylla paramamosain (green mud crab) is the source of this 156-nucleotide long non-coding RNA. RefSeq lists it as uncharacterized. The record is from RefSeq and is a predicted model, not a curated record. NCBI's taxonomy places the organism in Eukaryota, Metazoa, Arthropoda, Malacostraca, Decapoda, Portunidae. The transcript has 2 exons.